AAGAAAGUAAUCAGGGAGUAAACUCAUUUCUCGAACGAUAUUUUAAAUUAUAUUUUCACCACUAAAACGCAUGAGACUUAAAGUUUUCAAAAAUGUUUUCAUUUUUGAUGAGACGCUAAAUAAAACAACUUUAAUCGCCGGCAAACGAAAACCCGCGAUCUCCCGUAAAUCCCAAACACGACCCGUAUAAUCAAAAGUAUGCAAAGAAAGUACCCAGGGAGUAAACUCAAUUCCCGAACGAUUUUUUAAAUUAUUUUUUCACCACUAAGACUUGUAGUUUUCAAAAAUGUUUUCAUUUUUGAUGAGACUCUAAAUAAAAGAAGUUUAAUCGCCGGCAAACGAAAACCUGCGAUUUCCCGUAAAUCCCGUACUCGGCCCGUAUAGUCAAAAGUAUACAAAGAAAGUACCCAGGGAGUAAACUUAUUUCCCGAACGAUUUUUUAAAUUAUUUUUUCACCACUAAAACGCAUGAGACUUGUAGUUUUCAAAAAUGUUUUCAUUUUUGAGAAGACGCUAAAUAAAGGAAGUUUAAUCGCCGGCAAACAAAAACCCGCGAUUUCCCGUAAAUCCCGUAGUCGGCCCGUAUAGUCAAAAGUAUACAAAGAAAGUAAUCAGGGGGUAAACUCAUUUCCCGAACGAUAUUUUAAAUUAUAUUUUCACCACUAAAACGCAUGAGACUUAAAGUUUUCAAAAAUGUUUUCAUUUUGGAUGAGACGCUAAAUAAAAGAAGUUUAAUCGCCGGCAAACGAAAACCCGCGAUCUCCCGUAAAUCCAACACGACCCGUAUAAUCAAAAGUAUGCAAAGAAAAUACCCAGGGAGUAAACUCAUUUCCCGAACGAUUUUUUAAAUUAUUUUUUCACCACUAAAACGCAUGAGACUUGUAGUUUUCAAAAAUGUUUUCAUUUUUGAUGAGACGCUGAAUAAAAGAAGUUUAAUCGUCGGCAAACGAAAACCCGCGAUUUCCCGUAAAUCCGGUAAUCGGCCCGUAUAGUCAAAAGUAUACAAAUAAAGUACUCAAUGAGUAAACUCAUUUCCCGAACGAUUUUUUAAAUUAUUUUUUCACCACUAAAACGCAUGAGACUUGUAGUUUUCAAAAAUGUUUUCAUUUUUGAUGAGACGCUAAAUAAAAGAAGUUUAAUCGCCGCCAAACGAAAACCCGCGAUUUCCCGUAAAUCCCGUACUCGGCCCGUAUAGUCAAAAGUAUACAAAGAAAGUACCCAGGGAGUAAACUCAUUUCCCGAACGAUUUUUUAAAUUAUUUUUUCACCAAUAAAACGCAUGAGACUUGUAGUUUUCAAAAAUGUUUUCAUUUUUGAUGAGACGCUAAAUAAAAGAAGUUUAAUCGCCGGCAAACGAAAACCUGCGAUUUCCCGUAAAUCCCGUACUCGGCCCGUAUAGUCAAAAGUAUACAAAGAAAGUACCCAGGGAGUAAACUCAUUUCCCGAACGAUUUUUUAAAUUAUUUUUUCACCACUAAAACGCAUGAGACUUGUAGUUUUCAAAAAUGUUUUCAUUUUUGAGAAGACGCUAAAUAAAGGAAGUUUAAUCGCCGGCAAACAAAAACCCGCGAUUUCCCGUAAAUCCCGUAGUCGGCCCGUAUAGUCAAAAGUAUACAAAGAAAGUAAUCAGGGAGUAAACUCAUUUCCCGAACGAUAUUUUAAAUUAUAUUUUCACCACUAAAACGCAUGAGACUUAAAGUUUUCAAAAAUGGUUUCAUUUUUGAUGAGACGCUAAAUAAAACAACUUUAAUCGCCGGCAAACGAAAACCCGCGAUCUCCCGUAAAUCCCAAACACGACCCGUAUAAUCAAAAGUAUGCAAAGAAAGUACCCAGGGAGUAAACUCAAUUCCCGAACGAUUUUUUAAAUUAUUUUUUCACCACUAAGACUUGUAGUUUUCAAAAAUGUUUUCAUUUUUGAUGAGACUCUAAAUAAAAGAAGUUUAAUCGCCGGCAAACGAAAACCUGCGAUUUCCCGUAAAUCCCGUACUCGGCCCGUAUAGUCAAAAGUAUACAAAGAAAGUACCUAGGGAGUAAACUUAUUUCCCGAACGAUUUUUUAAAUUAUUUUUUCACCACUAAAACGCAUGAGACUUGUAGUUUUCAAAAAUGUUUUCAUUUUUGAGAAGACGCUAAAUAAAGGAAGUUGAAUCGCCGGCAAACAAAAACCCGCGAUUUCCCGUAAAUCCCGUAGUCGGCCCGUAUAGUCAAAAGUAUACAAAGAAAGUAAUCAGGGAGUAAACUCAUUUCCCGAACGAUAUUUUAAAUUAUAUUUUCACCACUAAAACGCAUGAGACUUAAAGUUUUCAAAAAUGUUUUCAUUUUUGAUGAGACGCUAAAUAAAACAACUUUAAUCGCCGGCAAACGAAAACCCGCGAUUUCCCGUAAAUCCCGUACUCGGCCCGUAUUGUCAAAAGUACACAAAAAAAGUACCCAGGGAGUAAACUGAUUUUCCGAAUGAUUUUUUAAAUUAUUUUUUCACCACUAAAACGCAUGAGACUUGUAGUUUUCAAAAAUGUUUUCAUUUUUGAUGAGACGCUAAAUAAAAGAAGUUUAAUCGCCGGCAAACGAAAACCCGCGAUUUUCCGUAAAUCCCGUACUCGGCCCGUAUAGUCAAAAGUAUACAAAAAAAGUACCCAGUGAGUAAACUCAUUUCCCGAACGAUUUUUUAAAUUAUUUUUUCACCACAAAAACGCAUGGGACUUGUAGUUUUCAAAAAUGUUUUUAUUUUUGAUGAGACGCUAAAUAAAAGAAGUUUAAUCGCCGGCAAACGAAAACCCGCGAUUUCCCGUAAAUCCCGUACUCGGCCCGUAUAGUCAAAAGUAUACCAAAAAAGUACCCAGUGAGUAAACUCAUUUCCCGAACGGUUUUUUUAAAUUAUUUUUUCACCACAUAAACGCAUGGGACUUGUAGGUUUCAAAAAUAUUUUCAUUUUUGAUGAAACGCUAAAUUAAAGAAGUUUAAUCGCCGGCAAACGAAAACCUGCGAUUUCCCGUAAAUCCCGUACUCGGCCCGCACAGUCAAGAGUACACAAAAAAAUACCCAGGGUGUAAAAUCAUUUCCCGAAUGAUUUUUUAAAUUAUUUUUUCACCACUAAAACGCAUGAGACUUGUAGUCUUCCAAAAUGCUUUCAUUUUUGAUGAGACGCUGAAUAAAAGAAGUUUAAUCGCCGGCAAACGAAAACCCGCGAUUUCCUGUAAAUCCCGUACUCGGCCCGCAUAGUCAAAAGUAUACAAAGAAAGUACCCAGGGAGUAAACUCAUUUCCCAAACGAUUUUUUAAAUUAUUUUUUCACCACUUAAACGCAUGAGACUUGUAGUUUUCAAAAAUGUUUUCAUUUUUGAUAAAACGCUAAAUUAAAGAAGUUUAAUCGCCGGCAAACGAAAACCCGCGAUUUUCCGUAAAUCCCGUACUCGGCCCGCACAGUCAAAAGUACACAAAAAAAGUACCCAGGGAGUAAAAUCAUUUCCCGAAUGAUUUUUUAAAUUAUUUUUUCACCACUAAAACGCAUGAGACUUGUAGUCUUCCAAAAUGCUUUCAUUUUUGAUGAGACGCUGAAUAAAAGAAGUUUAAUUGCCGGCAAACGAAAACCCGCGAUUUCCUGUAAAUCCCGGGCUUGGCCCCUAUAGUCGAAUGUAUACAAAGAAAGUACCCUGUGAGUAAACUUAUUUCCCGAACGAUUUUUUAAAUUAUUUUUUCACCACAAAAACGCAUGGGACUUGUAGUUUUCAAAAAUGUUUUCAUUUUUGAUGAGACGCUAAAUAAAAGAAGUUUAAUCUCCGGCAAACGAAAACCCGCGAUUUCCCGUAAAUCCCGUACUCGGCCCGUAUAGUCGAAUGUAUAUAAAGAAAGUACCCAGGGAGUAAACUCAUUUCCCAAACGAUUUUUUAAAUUAUUUUUUCACCACAAAAACGCAUGGGACUUGUAGUUUUCAAAAAUGUUUUCAUUUUUGAUGAGACGCUAAAUAAAAGAAGUUUAAUCGCCGGGAAACGAAAACCCGCGAUUUCCCGUAAAUCCCGUACUCGGCCGUAUAGUCGAAUGUAUGUAAAGAAAGUACCCAGGGAGUAAACUCAUUUCCCAAACGAUUUUUUAAAUUAUUUUUUCACCACUUAAACGCAUGAGACUUGUAGUUUUUAAAAAUGUUUUCAUUUUUGAUGAAACGCUAAAUUAAAGAAGUUUAAUC
Hydractinia symbiolongicarpus is the source of this 4175-nucleotide long non-coding RNA. RefSeq lists it as uncharacterized. The record is from RefSeq and is a predicted model, not a curated record. The transcript has 2 exons. NCBI's taxonomy places the organism in Eukaryota, Metazoa, Cnidaria, Hydrozoa, Anthoathecata, Hydractiniidae.